This is a long non-coding RNA of Argentina anserina (silverweed cinquefoil), 1404 nucleotides long. RefSeq lists it as uncharacterized. Lineage: Eukaryota; Viridiplantae; Streptophyta; Magnoliopsida; Rosales; Rosaceae. The transcript is spliced from 4 exons. The record is from RefSeq and is a predicted model, not a curated record.
UUCUCUCUCACUCUCUAUCUCUCUCCGAGUUUCCCCCGCCUUCUUAUUCCUCGUCCGGCACACACGUCUCUGUUUGUCUCCUCCACGUACCGCAGCACAGCCGGCCGCCGAUCCCUUCUCCUUCCUCCCAUCCUCGCCGGUUCCCUUUCCCAUCCUCCGAUGACGUCGCCGGUAUCCUACCUUUUUCUCAGCCUUUUGCGUCUCUCCCUCUUCAUUAAUUCUGCUCCAAUGUCCAUCGAUCUGCGCCUAGCCUACCUCUCAAUUUUCUGAUUUACCCGACGGACUUUUGAUUCGUCGCAGAGAUCGAACGUCUGAAAUUGCGGACAAAAUCUCAGAGAUUACGGUUGUCAAUGGAGGUGAAAAUUGCGUCAUGGACUAGUCGUCUAGCCCUAACUGGCCUAAUCAACGUCACUAUAUGCUUGGUUUAAACUGUUGACGAUAAUGGAGAUAUGGCGGCAUAGAGCUAUCAUCGAUCAGGUCCAGGGCUCUCUCUCUCUCUCUCCCAGAAUGUUAUGUUGCAACAAAGACAUGAGACCAUGGCAGCGAUCUUCACACAAUGUCAGACUAGCUGAACAAAAGUCGGAUGACUUUACCAGAGAUCUCAUAUCGAGCGUUGUUCGGAGCUCCUUGCUUGAAUUGAAACACCUUAUAUUGAGAAGAGCUCUCCUGGAAAUUGGAAACAGAUCUUGUCAUGGAAACUGACACAUAUGGAACAGACAUAUUUGAUGUUGUCUCUUAGCAAUAACCUUUGGCCCCGUGUUACUCAACUGGUGAGGUUGGCCAUUCAUGUCUGCUCCUUAGUUCCACUAUUAUGUUUCGCAUUAAUGCCUGUAAUUCCAGUAAUUCACAAUUUUGUUGCUGUGAGCUGAAAAGUGGAACGAACUAUCCUUUAAUGGAAUAAUUUGAAAAUCUGAUUUCGCGAUGGGGGCUGUAUCUACAUCACAGGUACGGUGUAAUUUCUCGACUGCCUUUUUCUUCUGCAACUGCAAAUGAUGGUAUAUAUCAUGGCUUCGGCUGCUUAAACAGUUUUAGUUUCUGACUUGACUUCAGUAAUUUUCCGCGUCCAGUGAGUUCCAACCAUCUCAAUUGCAGCCUUGGGCUCAUUUAUUGUAUGAGUGAAAGAAAAAAAAAUCAUUUCUUGCGGUCUGCAUCUACAAUUCAAGACCAUAUCAGCAAAGGUCACAUACUUACGAUUAUAUCUACUGGUCAGUGGGGGCGACAUGGAAUACUGAAUCUAUUAGUAGUCGUACAUAGAAUUCCAACAGUUUCACCAUUGUCUUUCUGUGAUUAGCUCUUGAUCAUGACACGACUGUAUAGUUCAAGAAGAGGGUGAAUCUUCGUCGCUAGUUGGAGGAAUGAGUAGUUGUAAAUACAAAACUUUCUUCUGUUGAUGAAAUCUGGAUU